This 336-nucleotide long non-coding RNA is filed under the name Manacus vitellinus (golden-collared manakin). RNAcentral describes it as "lncRNA (ENSMVIG00005000369.1)". Lineage: Eukaryota; Metazoa; Chordata; Aves; Passeriformes; Pipridae. The record is from RNAcentral.
CACUGGACACCGGACUGACCCCUUGCACAGGAUGGCGGCAUCACCCAUUCUCAGAGGAAGACAAUGCCAUGACCCAGAUGGGAGUGCAGAGCAGGUCUGGACUGACAGGACAGUCAUCCAUGACCACAUCAGCCUGACAUUCCCUGAUGAUGGCAACGGGAUGAACUCGGAGCAGCUGCACAAAAUACUAAGUAUUUGGUACCCGAAGCCGAGCACGCAGAUCAUCCUGGGAGGACAAAGAGCCAAAACACAGCUGGUUUCCAAAGGUCUGGCCUCCACUGAGUGUGACACAGACAGGUGCAAAAUCCUGAUUUCCAGCACUUGCUGGAUCCUGAG